This 222-nucleotide ribosomal RNA is filed under the name Triticum aestivum (bread wheat). Its description in RNAcentral is "partial small subunit ribosomal RNA". Lineage: Eukaryota; Viridiplantae; Streptophyta; Magnoliopsida; Poales; Poaceae. The record is from RNAcentral.
UUCUCCGCCCUUGACGUCCGCACCGAGCCCCUCUCCCUCGACCAUCUCUUCGCCCUCAUGUCCAACUUCGAUCAGAGGGUCGAACUAUUCUAGGGCGCUGAUGGCAACUUCAAAUCGUCCGCUAAUGCCGCUACUCGUGGUGGCCGUGGUCCACCCAAGGGCUACCGUGGCAAACCGCGAAGUAACUGGUGGAUCGCGCGACGGCGGUGGCGCUGGUUAUAA